Molecule: ribosomal RNA, 253 nt
Filed under: uncultured bacterium
Lineage: Bacteria
Description: partial 16S ribosomal RNA
Rfam family: Bacterial small subunit ribosomal RNA
Source: RNAcentral
UACGAAGGGGGCUAGCGUUGCUCGGAAUCACUGGGCGUAAAGCGCACGUAGGCGGGUCGUUAAGUCGGGGGUGAAAUCCUGGAGCUCAACUCCAGAACUGCCUUCGAUACUGGCGAUCUUGAGUCUGGGAGAGGUGAGUGGAACUCCGAGUGUAGAGGUGAAAUUCGUAGAUAUUCGCAAGAACACCAGUGGCGAAGGCGGCCAACUGGUCCGGUACUGACGCUGAGGUGCGAAAGCGUGGGGAGCAAACAGG